UACGAAGGGGGCUAGCGUUGUUCGGAAUUACUGGGCGUAAAGCGCACGUAGGCGGACUAUUAAGUCAGGGGUGAAAUCCCGGGGCUCAACCCUGGAACUGCCUUUGAUACUGACGAUCUGGAGAUCGGGAGAGGUUGGUGGAAUUCCGAGUGUAGAGGUGAAAUUCGUAGAUAUUCGGAGGAACACCAGAAGCGAAGGCGGCCAACUGGCCCGAUACUGACGCUGAGGCGCGAAAGCGUGGGGAGCAAACAGG
This 253-nucleotide ribosomal RNA is filed under the name uncultured bacterium. RNAcentral describes it as "partial 16S ribosomal RNA". It matches the Rfam family "Bacterial small subunit ribosomal RNA", at positions 524 to 776 of the family's 1533-position model. The record is from RNAcentral.